GACGAACGCUGGCGGCGUGCUUAACACAUGCAAGUCGAACGAAGAGCGAUGGAAGCUUGCUUCUAUCAAUCUUAGUGGCGAACGGGUGAGUAACGCGUAAUCAACCUGCCCUUCAGAGGGGGACAACAGUUGGAAACGACUGCUAAUACCGCAUACGAUCUAAACUCGGCAUCGAGGAUAGAUGAAAGGUGGCCUCUACAUGUAAGCUAUCACUGAAGGAGGGGAUUGCGUCUGAUUAGCUAGUUGGAGGGGUAACGGCCCACCAAGGCGAUGAUCAGUAGCCGGUCUGAGAGGAUGAACGGCCACAUUGGGACUGAGACACGGCCCAGACUCCUACGGGAGGCAGCAGUGGGGAAUCUUCCGCAAUGGACGAAAGUCUGACGGAGCAACGCCGCGUGAGUGAUGACGGCCUUCGGGUUGUAAAGCUCUGUUAAUCGGGACGAAAGGCCUUCUUGCGAAUAGG
RNAcentral lists this ribosomal RNA (463 nucleotides) under Veillonella parvula. RNAcentral describes it as "bacterial SSU rRNA". It matches the Rfam family "Bacterial small subunit ribosomal RNA", at positions 28 to 467 of the family's 1533-position model. The record is from RNAcentral. Lineage: Bacteria; Bacillati; Bacillota; Negativicutes; Veillonellales; Veillonellaceae.